CAAUAGCGUAUAUUUAAGUUGCUGCAGUUAAAAAGCUCGUAGUUGGAUUUCGGGUGGGAAUGGCCGGUCCGCCGUUUCGGUGUGCACUUGCUACGCCCACCUUGCUGCCGGGGACGUGCUCUUGAGUUCACGCUCGGGACACGGAGUCGGCGAGGUUACUUUGAGUAAAUUAGAGUGUUCAAAGCAGGCCUACGCUCUGAAUACAUUAGCAUGGAAUAACACGAUAGGACUCUGGCCUAUCUUGUUGGUCUGUAGGACCGGAGUAAUGAUUAAGAGGGACAGUCGGGGGCAUUCGUAUUUCAUUGUCAGAGGUGAAAUUCUUGGAUUUAUGAAAGACGGACUACUGCGAAAGCAUCUGCCAUGGAUGUUUUCAUUGA
This 377-nucleotide ribosomal RNA is filed under the name uncultured eukaryote. RNAcentral's name for it is "partial 18S ribosomal RNA". It matches the Rfam family "Eukaryotic small subunit ribosomal RNA", at positions 592 to 976 of the family's 1831-position model. The record is from RNAcentral.